GCAAUAUGAUGUAAUGGUAACAUAUAAGAUUCAUGAUCUUAUUUUAACAGUUCAAAUCUGUUUAUUGCA
This 69-nucleotide transfer RNA is filed under the name Candida frijolesensis. RNAcentral's name for it is "tRNA-Met". It matches the Rfam family "tRNA". From Rfam's summary of the family: Transfer RNA (tRNA) molecules are approximately 80 nucleotides in length. Their secondary structure includes four short double-helical elements and three loops (D, anti-codon, and T loops). Lineage: Eukaryota; Fungi; Ascomycota; Pichiomycetes; Serinales; Debaryomycetaceae. The record is from RNAcentral.